CUGCAAAUAUUCUUCAUAUUCUGAUUUUGUAAUAAUCGGGACAAGCUAAACAUUCGUUAUAAUAAUACCACACAUUUGUCCUGGACCUAGGUCUUUGCCUACCUAAGUCUGGUCUUAGAAAUGCUGCUGAUAAAU
This is a small nucleolar RNA of Sorex araneus (European shrew), 135 nucleotides long. Its record names the gene SNORA72. It matches the Rfam family "Small nucleolar RNA SNORA72". Rfam says of the family: U72 is a member of the H/ACA class of snoRNAs. The snoRNA gene is located in intron 4 of the ribosomal L30 protein gene in human, mouse and chicken. NCBI's taxonomy places the organism in Eukaryota, Metazoa, Chordata, Mammalia, Eulipotyphla, Soricidae. The record is from Ensembl.